GCAGCAGCCGCGGUAAUACGAGGGGGGCAAGCGUUGUUCGGAAUUAUUGGGCGUAAAGGGUGCGUAGGCGGCUUGACAAGUCUUGUGUGAAAUCUAUGGGCUCAACCCAUAGUCUGCACGGGAAACUGUCGGGCUUGAGAAUGGGAGAGGUGAGUGGAAUUUCCGGUGUAGCGGUGAAAUGCGUAGAUAUGUGGAAGAACACCGAUGGCGAAGGCAGCCCCCUGGCCAAUACUGACGCUCAUGCACGAAAGCGUGGGGAGCAAACAGGAUUAGAUACCCGCGUAGUCCCUGUCUCUUAUACA
This 302-nucleotide ribosomal RNA is filed under the name uncultured bacterium. Its description in RNAcentral is "partial 16S ribosomal RNA". It matches the Rfam family "Bacterial small subunit ribosomal RNA", at positions 508 to 808 of the family's 1533-position model. The record is from RNAcentral.